GUGCGCUAACCGCGAGAGGGCAAGCUAACCACGGGUAGGGUCAGCGGACUGGGGGUGAAGUCGUAACAAGGUAGCCGUAGGGGAACUGCGGCUGGGAUCACCUUCCUUUCUAAGGAAGCUGUGGAAUUGGUAAGACGACCGGCCUGAUCUUCGGAUCUCCCCGGUAUGAACCUUCCCGUGCUUUUUUAGAACAUAGAUGGCGCCAGUGAGGCGACCAUCGAAACGCAAUACGCCGCGUAGACUUCCGGUCACGACGGGUAUGGGGGAGCUUUUCGCCUCCCCCGUUUCUCUUUCUUCAAGAAGAACAAAAAAACCGUAUCGGACCCGGUUCCCCCAAAUGGGCCCCUUAGCUCAGUUGGUUAGGGGCACCCCCUUGAAAAAGCGUGGGGGCCGAAGUUCCAAGUCUUCCCGGGCCCACCAUUUGCAUCUUCAAGUGAGGGUAAGGGAUGAUGGAAUAUGGCAAAUCGGAUUUUGGCCGACCUGGGUUAUCCCGGGCGAUCCGGCUGGAUGGGGCUGUAGUUCAGCUGGGGAGAAGCCCCUGCUUGCCAAGGGGGGGGUCAGCAGUUCGAUCC
This 572-nucleotide unclassified non-coding RNA is filed under the name Rhizobium sp. RNAcentral describes it as "partial contains 16S ribosomal RNA and 16S-23S ribosomal RNA intergenic spacer". The record is from RNAcentral. Lineage: Bacteria; Pseudomonadati; Pseudomonadota; Alphaproteobacteria; Hyphomicrobiales; Rhizobiaceae.